This is a transfer RNA of Enterobacter sp. 638, 74 nucleotides long. It matches the Rfam family "tRNA". Rfam says of the family: Transfer RNA (tRNA) molecules are approximately 80 nucleotides in length. Lineage: Bacteria; Pseudomonadati; Pseudomonadota; Gammaproteobacteria; Enterobacterales; Enterobacteriaceae. The record is from Rfam.
CGCGGGGUGGAGCAGCCUGGUAGCUCGUCGGGCUCAUAACCCGAAGGUCGUCAGUUCAAAUCUGGCCCCCGCAA